CGGGCUCAUAUUGAAACCUAGUGAUGUAUGAGUUAGUGGCGGACGGGUGAGUAACGCGUGGAGAACCUGCCGUAUACUGGGGGAUAACACUUAGAAAUAGGUGCUAAUACCGCAUAAGCGCACAGCUUCGCAUGAAGCAGUGUGAAAAACUCCGGUGGUAUACGAUGGAUCCGCGUCUGAUUAGCUGGUUGGCGGGGUAACAGCCCACCAAGGCGACGAUCAGUAGCCGGCCUGAGAGGGUGAACGGCCACAUUGGGACUGAGACACGGCCCAAACUCCUACGGGAGGCAGCAGUGGGGAAUAUUGCACAAUGGGGGAAACCCUGAUGCAGCGACGCCGCGUGAGUGAAGAAGUAUUUCGGUAUGUAAAGCUCUAUCAGCAGGGAAGAAAUACUGACCUUACGGUCAGCAGACGGUACCUGACUAAGAAGCCCCGGCUAACUACGUGCCAGCAGCCGCGGUAAUACGUAGGGGGCAAGCGUUAUCCGGAUUUACUGGGUGUAAAGGGAGCGUAGACGGCAGCGCAAGUCUGAAGUGAAAUCCCAUGGCUUAACCAUGGAACUGCUUUGGAAACUGUGCAGCUGGAGUGCAGGAGAGGUAAGCGGAAUUCCUAGUGUAGCGGUGAAAUGCGUAGAUAUUAGGAGGAACACCAGUGGCGAAGGCGGCUUGCUGGACUGUAACUGACGUUGAGGCUCGAAAGCGUGGGGAGCAAACAGGAUUAGAUACCCUGGUAGUCCACGCCGUAAACGAUGAUUACUAGGUGUUGGGGGACCAAGGUCCUUCGGUGCCGGCGCAAACGCAUUAAGUAAUCCACCUGGGG
Molecule: ribosomal RNA, 819 nt
Filed under: uncultured bacterium
Lineage: Bacteria
Description: bacterial SSU rRNA
Rfam family: Bacterial small subunit ribosomal RNA
Source: RNAcentral